ACAAAGCAAAGCUAGAUUAUAUUGGAGAGGACAACUAUCAAGACUCCGUGACAAUUGUCAACAAAGGAUUGGAAAUGGUUUUAGAGAAGAUCUUAACCAUUUUUACUUGUCUUGACCUUUCCAAUAAUAGUUUCCAUGGCAGAAUACCAAAAGAAAUACAAAAUCUCGGAUCCCUCAUAGUGCUAAACUUAUCCCACAAUAGCUUCUCUGGCCAAAUUCCACUAGCACUUGAGAACCUAAAAGAGCUUGAGUCUUUGGACCUUUCACAGAACAAACUCUCAGGGAAGAUUCCUCCGCAACUUACAAGUCUAACUUUCCUAUCAGCACUAGACUUGUCUUACAACAACCUUGAAGGGAGCAUACCACAAAGUAACCAAUUCAAUACAUUUUCAAAUGAUUCUUACCGAGGGAACCCAAGAUUAUGUGGGCCGCCUUUGACAAGGAAAUGCAAUGAAGUUGGUGUUCCACCUUCAAUUCCAGGGGAAGAUGUAGAUUCAUUGGUAGAUGGUAUAUCUGAUUGGAAAAUCGUGUUGAUCGGUUAUGGGUGUGGAAUGGUGAUUGGGUUAUGUAUUGGAUAUACAGUGCUGAAUGAGAUGGGAAACAAAUGGCGUGACAAUUGCAAAAGGAAUGGGAAAAGGAAUGGUAGAAGAUCUAGGUGACUUCAUCAAAAUCCAUGUUUCAAAGUCAGCAGGUAAAAAUUUUCUUUUGAAACUUGGCAAUAUUUUUAAAAUUGAAAGGAUAGUUGCUGCAAACAAGGAUAUUCUUUGAAUUUCCUAAACUCAUCUUAUCUCUCUUUAUAAGGUUCACUAUCAUAUCAUAAAUUUGUUCUAGUAGCAUUGGCAUUUAUUAUCGAUGAUUCUAUUACAAUUUUGUAGUGUAGGAAUUUGAAACAAGUCUUGGCAUGUAGAAUAGUGACCGGGCCUACCUCUGCAGUUGUAAAACAAGAACAAACAUCUACUAACAACAGAAUAAUCUUAACAGACCAAGCUAAAGCAAAUAUUCGUUGCUGCUGUAUUAGAAGCAAAUAGAUUGUAUCUAGGUAUGUGUAUCUUAUGAUAUGUUGUCCGUAAACCUUUUAUAGCUAAUAUCCUUCAUAAAAUUUUCUUCAUAUUAAUCCAAUAUCAUCAUUCUCUGUUUCUCUACUUCUGCACUCACAUAUAGACAAACACAAUUAUUUUGUUAUAAGCUCAAGAGCUAUAAACUUCCAAUACUAGAUUGAUAUAAUUUAGAAUAGACCUUGACUACAAAAUAAAUAAAUAAAUAAAUAAAGGCGAUGCAAUGCAACUUUUAACAACCUGAAGGGUAUGAAUGGCAUAAAAACUUUAUGAUGGUCUAAAGCUGAAAGAACUACAUCUUAACAUAGUAUGUGGACUUGUUUAAUUGAUUCAGUUUAGGUUUUAAAAAGGUAAAAGGUGAAAGCUUCUUAUGAAAGACGCAUCCUUCAGUAAAAAGGAGUAACUCCUUCUUUGUCAUUUUUUAGGAAAAUGAUUUGGGAUGAUACUUGGUCCUACAGUUCGUUACAUAUUGCAUAAAAAAGAAAGCAUAGAUAGCUGCAAUACCUUUUAGAAAAGGAUAUGAAUUUUGAGUGAAGGCUUUCACUCAUCUGUUACUUGAUGAAAUUGCUACUUCAAUUGCAUUUUCUUUUGUCCAAUCACAAGAAAAAGGACUUCUUUCCCUCAACUUCAAGUCAUUGCAUGUGAAUGGUGAUCAUGAUUUUUUGAAACUGAUAACCACCCAACGCAGGACAUAGACGAUUUAUAUCAGGUAUCUCAUGUGGUCACUCACCAUGGGGCAUCAACAAAUGACUACUUUGAGCAGUGAAAUGCAAGAGAUGCCAAAAGACCUUGGUUGUUUGUGAUUCAAGUAAAUCAUUUUCAUAAUUUUUUGUCUAUUUAGUUUAAAAAAAAGGGCUCAAUGUUACAUUGCCAAAUAUGCACAUUCAUUUCUCAAGCAUUACUCUUUGCAAGGUUUAUGGUAUCAGAAUUCUUAUAACAUAAUCUUUUUUUUUUGGACACAGUGAAAUUAUCUAUGUAAAACUUUCCCUUCUCCUCGGACAUCUAGUCAUAGUUUAGUUGCAAGGAGCAAAUUUCACGGCAUCUUGGCAGUCAAUCUUAUUCUUUGAACGAAUUACAUUUGAGGUAAGCAUUAGUAUGCAGUUUAUGAUACCUGAAUGGGAACCUUGCCAACUAAAUAUUAGAACACAAACUUUCAGACAACAGGAAAAUAAUAUCAUUUUGGAACUAAAGUUCUGUGUUCUUGUAGGGAAUGGAUAUGCUUGUUAAUUGAGGAAAUUUUGAAGUUGUAAAGAGUAUAGACAAUCAAUUCAUGCAAGCUAUUAUGGACCAUUUGAAGAAAUGCCGGAUCAUUUUCGGGGUAGUCAUUCUUGAGUAGUCUACUUGAUGAUAUAUUGAACCAAGAAGGUUGUUAAGCCUUCUGCAAUAUGCAAUUUAACCAAUUUUGAGAUUUGACUCAGCAUUUAUGUUUGGAAGUUUUGUGCAGGUUAAAAUGAUAUUUGAUGACUCGGGGUUGAAGGCAUCAUUGGAUGGAGUGAUUAUGAAUGUAUAAAGACAUUGCUGCGAGAGGCUUCUUUUAAAACUAUCUUUUUCAUGUGGCCUUAGUUCUUGCUUGUCUGAAUUAGUGCCUAACUAAGAAAAUGUAAGUAUCAAAGAAAGGUAGUUUAUUCUCAACAGAAUGGUAAUUAUAAAAUUUUAAAGGAAAGAAGAAAACAAAAUAGACAAUUUUAUCAUAGGUCAUGCUAAAAUGUAACAUAUGUAUAAAACUGCUUUUAUGGGCCAAAGAUUAUUGAUCUUGAUGGAAAUAACCCCAUUGAGUUUAAGUUUAGGUUGGCUAUGAGAUUUCAAUAACAUUUUUUUUUCUUAUAUGCAGGAAGUAGUGUUCUUUCCAUUGAGAAAACUAUUCAUUCCCCUGCUUCCAUCAGGGAAGGCUUUCUAUGCUUUGGAUGUUCUUUCCAAUUUCGGAUGCUCCUUAAAUGCUAUCACAAUCUUCCCUAGCAGUGCCCACCCAACUAAAACUCUCUGGGGUCAUAAUAGGUCAAGAGUACUCUACGCAUAGGUGUCAUGGACUCUAAUUUGAUGAACUGGAUUCUUGGCCAUUGUGGAGGUUGUGAGUUUUAUGUUGAUUCUUGCAAGAUUAAUAUUGCAAAGCCACCUAAAGGUGGAAAUGCUAAUUCUUGUGCAAAAGACAGUGACAGAGUUGGUUAGCUUCUUCGGAAAGCCAUGAAUGUUCUCAAGUACUACAAAAAGAAUAAAAUUUGUAGAUCCCAGGGGUGUGUGGGUUUGUUUUAUUGAUGACACUGGAUGUGUAGGUGUUUUGUUUGAUUUAGUAUUGUUGAGUUAUUUUUUUGUGAUCAGCUCUUCUCGGGGUUGGUUGCAGUUGGAUUGCUUUAUGUAAUUCCCAUUUUUAUUAACAAAUUGAGGGUGUUAUUCAAAAAACAAAAAGGGUGCACCUAUCUCCUUUUUUGGGGAUGUUGACUUUUUUUAAAAAAUUAAGUGGAAACAUGAUACUAACAAAAUAUUUGGAAUCAUCUAGAUACUAAGCAACAUGCCUGCAAAGACCAGAGCUCAUGGCUGAACAAUUGAAUGCAAAGUUUUUUUUUUUUUGAAAAUUAAAGAAUUCAGUGAUAAAACAAGGAAUAAAGAGUUUCUUGGCAAAUAAAAAAAUAAAAGGCAUGAUUUUAAGAUGCUAUUCCCAGUCGCGUAUCAUCAUCCUUGAUAAACCCAAAAAAAAUCAUAAACCCAAAAAAAAAAAAAAGAAACAUACCCUUGUAUGCUUUCAAUAUACAGCCAGAUGAGAAACAAAACAACUUUGACACUGCAACAGACCUAUACAUCAUCCAUCAUUCCUACCACAUUUAUCAACAAAAGAAAGACCCAAUAUACACAAAAGCAAAUCUAUCAGCAGGCCUUCAUCUCAUAGAUCAAAAAAUUCAGGAAGUGUAAAAGAUCAAACUUGAUCCUUGGUGUUAAAGCUUUUGAGACAGACCAUAAACCUGGUAUUUGUGCAUUUCAUUCCACCGUACUCGUCCUACUAAAAAACACAAGAAAGCUCAUCUUGUCGUUGAGUCCUUUCUUUUGCCUGCCUAUCAGCAAGUUGAUUUCUCUCUCUAAAGAUUUGGUUUAUCUCCCAUUCUCUAACACCUUUCUUCAAACGUUCAAUGUGCAAAAUCCAUUUCCGCAUCCUCACGGAGCCUCAGCAAGUUUUUGACCUAUUUCACAGAAUUUUUCGAUUUGACCCAUUUCAUAGAAUUUUUCGAAUCGGAUUAGCAGGACAAGAGAGGAAAGGUGGAUGGAUAACCACAUAUAGGACAUUUAAGGAUCCAUAAUUUCUAAUGACUUUCAUGUCAUCUAAAUUAGUAUUUGGAUCUCACAUGUAAUGAUAAUUGGAGAUUAUCAGUGCGCUAUGUACAAUUAAUAAAAAUCCUUAGGACAUCGGAUGGCUUAAUCUUUCCAUUGUCAUAAGAGUUUAGAUGAACGCAUAAAUAAAAUAUACGAAUGAGAGACAUCACAAAAUAAAAGGUAAUAGUAAAUAAAUAUUAUAACUAUGCAAAAAUAAUUAGUUUUAAAAUUUUGAAAUAUUAUGCAAAAAUAAUUUUUUUUUAAAAAUUAAUUAUUAGAUUUAAUAACUUAUUCAUAUUCAUCAUGUAUAUAAAGUUUGGAGUUCGUUCAAUUUCUAAAUAAAAUGGAUCGAGAAUACUAUCUUUUGAGUAUAUAUUCAUUAGUUGAAAAUUUUAUUAUAUUAAAUAAUUAAUUAGAUAUUUUUAAUUAAUUUAAAAUUUGACAUAAAAUGAUUUAAAACUAAUAUAGUAUAUGAUGUUUUUCAUAUUUUUAUUUUUUUAUAUUUGGAGAAACUUUAAUUUUUUUAAAAGAGAGAUCGUGCACUAAUUAAUAAGUCAAAUACUCGAGUGUCAUAAUUUUAAUUUUUUUUUAAUAACAAACUUUAUUAAAAUCUAAUUAAACGAGAGAAAUUAAUCCCUAACAUAUAGUUAAUGAGAAGGGAUCUGACCUCUGCAGGGGGGACAUCAUAAAAUCUAUACUCCUUGUCUAAAUCAAAACCUUUGUUUGCUAAAUAGUUCGCUACAGUAUUCCCUUCUUUAAAAAUAUGUCAUAUUUUGACUUCUCAUUGACGAUGAAGUAGACUUUGAAUAGUUUCAAUCAAAUCUGAGUUUGAACAUGGAUGGCUUCUGGGAGAAGUGAUGGCUUGCACUACUAGUUUACUAUCCACUUAGAGUUCUAUUUUCCGGUAACUCAACUGCCACGCUAAGUUUAAUCCUUUAUAGGUACCCCACAACUCAGCUCGGUAUGCAGUGCACCUACCAAGGGUUGCAGAAAAACCACCCAACCAGUUGCCACAGGAAUCUCGAAGUACUCCACCAGCUGCUGCCUUGUCUAGUGAUCUUUUAAAAGCACCAUCUGGGUAUUUUUACUUUUAAUCAUGAAAAAUGAAGCAUUUCAUAUAUAUUUAUAAAUAAAAUAAUGGAAACCCAAAGAUUUUAAAAAGAAAAUUCUUUUAUAGCUCACAAGCCUCUGAUAUAGAAACCCAAAAAAAAAACAUUUUGAAGUGUGACUCAACUUCAUUUUGACUCAACCCAAAAAAUAAUGUGAACAUUUAAUCUGAAAAUGUAUCUAUAAAUAAUUUACUACAUAAUUUUAUUUUAAUAUUUUAAUAUUUUAUUUUCAAUACGAUUCAUUUUUUGAAACAAUUUCUCGUCUUGCGAGAAAAUAAAUUCUAUGGUCAAAUUUAAUGUUUCAAACGUAAACUGUUUUCCCCAACUUUGGAUGUAUUGGACAUUGCUUCUAAUGAAUUCUCUGGUGAACUAUCCAUCGACUCCUUUCAAGCUACUCAGCUAAGGUCCCUCAAAAUCAGUAUGAAUAAAUUGGAAGGGAAGUUGCCCAGGUCAUUAGCCAAUUGCGCAAAGCUUGAAGUAUUAGGCCUUGGAAAAAAUACGAUACAUGACACAUUUCCUUUUUGACUGGGAAAAUUACCUUUUUUGAAGGUUCUUGUCCUUCAAGCAAAUAGAUUUUACGGUACGUUCAAGUUUGUGAGUCGGAGAAUGCUUUUCCCAUGCUACGCAUAUUGGACCUUGCUUCCAACAACUUUUCAGGUGAGUUAUCCGCCAAUUUUUUACAAUGUUUGAGGGCAAUGAUGAUGAUUACAAACGAGAACAUGGCUACUCCAAAAUAUAUUGGAGAGCUUUAUUAUCAAGAUUCAGUGACAAUUGUCAAUAAAGGAUUGGUAAUGGUGUUAAAGAAUAUCUUCAUCGGUUUUACUUGUCUUGACCUUUCGAAUAAUAGUUUCCAUGGCAGAAUACCAGAAGAAAUACAAAAUCUCACAUCACUCAUAGUGCUAAACUUAUCCCAAAAUAGCUUCUUUGGCCAAAUUCCACUAGCAC
RNAcentral lists this long non-coding RNA (6409 nucleotides) under Theobroma cacao (cacao). RNAcentral's name for it is "long non-coding RNA (TCAC_LNC002264)". Lineage: Eukaryota; Viridiplantae; Streptophyta; Magnoliopsida; Malvales; Malvaceae. The record is from RNAcentral.